UACGGAGGGGGCUAGCGUUAUUCAUCCUGAUUGGGCGUAAAGGGUAUGUAGGUGAUGAAAAAUAAUUGUUGAGAAAGAUCAGGUUUAUUUCUUGAAAGCACAAUAAUUAUUGAUCAAUUCGAGAUUUAAGAGGUGGGCGGAAUUACUAAUGUCGAGGUAAAAUAUGACGAUAUUAGUGCGAAUACCAGGGGCGAAAGCGGCUUUCUUUAAUGUCUGACACUGAGGUACUAAAGCAUGGGGAUCAAACAGG
This 250-nucleotide ribosomal RNA is filed under the name uncultured bacterium. Its description in RNAcentral is "partial 16S ribosomal RNA". It matches the Rfam family "Bacterial small subunit ribosomal RNA", at positions 524 to 776 of the family's 1533-position model. The record is from RNAcentral.